CUGUUUAGGGGUGGGGGCCAAUAGUUGUUUUUUUGUUGUUGUUUUUUUACAGUGAGCAGCCACAGGCUGCUCACUGUUUAGUGGACAUGCCCCUACUCGCGGUAUAGCGAGUAGGGGCAUUUGGGAGAUUUUUAUCUCCCUUGUGCUAUUAUGGGGUUCAUAUUGACCCCCAUAGAGUGAGGGGGGCCUGGGGGGCUUAUGAAGUGGUGGGGAGCACUGCUCCCUGCCGCUUCUAUCGUUACAUAUUACAAGGAGGGAGCUGCACGCCGGUAGCUCCCUCCUUGUAAUAAACUGC
Non-coding RNA from Pelobates cultripes (western spadefoot toad), 295 nucleotides. Lineage: Eukaryota; Metazoa; Chordata; Amphibia; Anura; Pelobatidae. The record is from the annotation of a GenBank genome assembly.